Molecule: unclassified non-coding RNA, 353 nt
Filed under: soil metagenome
Description: partial contains 5.8S ribosomal RNA, internal transcribed spacer 2, and large subunit ribosomal RNA
Rfam family: 5.8S ribosomal RNA (bases 1-120)
Source: RNAcentral
GAUGAAGAACGCAGCGAAAUGGGAUAAGUAAUGUGAAUUGCAGAAUUCAGUGAAUCAUCGAAUCUUUGAACGCACAUUGCGCCCGCCAGUAUUCUGGCGGGCAUGCCUGUUCGAGCGUCAUUACAACCCUCAGGCCCCCGGGCCUGGCGUUGGGGAUCGGCGGAAGCCCCCUGCGGGCACAACGCCGUCCCCCAAAUACAGUGGCGGUCCCGCCGCAGCUUCCAUUGCGUAGUAGCUAACACCUCGCAACUGGAGAGCGGCGCGGCCACGCCGUAAAACACCCAACUUCUGAAUGUUGACCUCGAAUCAGGCAGGAAUACCCGCUGAACUUAAGCAUAUCAAUAAGCGGAGGA